RNAcentral lists this long non-coding RNA (2140 nucleotides) under Homo sapiens (human). RNAcentral describes it as "non-protein coding lnc-RASGRF1-7:1". Lineage: Eukaryota; Metazoa; Chordata; Mammalia; Primates; Hominidae. The record is from RNAcentral.
UUUUAUAAGGUAAAGGUCAAAUUUUAUUUGAUUUUUCUAUAUGGCUACCCAAUUAUCUGCUAUUAUAUCCUACCUUCUUCCUACAAUCUCAUCACCUACUUGAGUAUACACAUGGUAGACAAGAGGGGAACUUUUUGAGUUUGAUUUCUCUUUGUCCCACCAGCUAUACUGCCAGGGAAUCACAGCAUAGUCUGUGCCUCUUGGCAUCGCAUAUGAAGCCCUUCCCUAUCUAGCCCUUGCACCAUUUCCAGCCUCAUGUCUGACCAAUAGACUCCCCCAGCUGCAUAAGGCCCCUCAUCAUUCCCAGAUGUGCCACACUCUUUCCUAUUCCGACAAUGAUGUAUAUAUCUUUGCCUUUACUUGUGGCAUUUACACGUCUACUCAUUUUUCAAGAUCCUACUCAAAUAUUACCUCUUCCAAGAAAACUAUACGAAUAUCCCACACUACUAUUUAUUUCUACCCUGUUCAGAAUCCCUCCUAUCCUUCAAGUCCUUUGUUUAGUAGACUGUUGAAGGAAAGGGAAUUGCAUGAAGACAGUUUAGAUACCCCUGUGGUUUCAUCCCUGGCCCUUUGAUGGUUUCAGUUCCCUAACCCCCUGCCCACCAAAGUAUCCUUAAAAACUCUAGCCUCUGAAUUCUUGGAGAGUCAGAUUUGAGAAAUUUCUCCCAUUCUCCUCACUUGGCUAGAGAGCAAUUAUUAAACUCUUUCUUUGCUGCAACAUCUACUGUUUUCAGUGAAUUGGUUUUUUUUCAGGGCAGCAGGCAAUAAGAACCUGUUGGGCUGUGACACUGGGGCCCAGGAAGCUGCAGUUCUAUCACGUCUCACUGUCACUCAAAAAGUCACCAGCCCCAACCCUCAUCAACAAAAGACAUUUUAUAUGGAUUUUCUUAACAUAGCCACAUCUUUAGAGAUUUAGAUAUAAAACUCAUUGGUAUACAUCAUGUCAUCUAAACCUACUUAGGGACCUCAAUUUUAAAAUAUGCAUCCUAAUCAAUUCCUUUAAGAAUACACAUCUUUGUGUAUUUGGUUUUCUUGAAGUAGGGCCUACUUGGCACACUAUUUGGUAAACUAAAAGAUACAUUCUUGAGUAUGUUAGAGUUCAAAACUUAAGGCAGUUUCAAGCAUGGGCAGAUGACUAUUCUUUCAGUUUGAUCACUGUCAGAUUAGUAACAGUUCAUCUGCCUCUCUGGAGAAGUUGGCUGGGAAGACUUUACAGAUGCCUUUCACACAAACUGUGACUGAGAUAAGCUCAGUGCAGAGCUGUUUGUGUAUUCAGGCAAUGAAAGUCAACCACAAAGGAGAAAUGCCAGACAUGACAAGUGAAGCAAUAUGAGCAGAAGAUCCUACAGAGCAAUUGGAGACUUAGACUCACAAGACCAAAGAAUCCUAGGGUAUGAUGGCAUGCAGGGACUUAAACAAUGGUAUAAACCAAUGCAUUAACUUCCCAGAUGGGAAAGCUGAGGCUCAGAAAAGGGAAGUGAGUUUUUCAGUCCUUUGCAACUACUAAGAAGUACAGCCAUGCUUCCUGAUUUCCCAGCCAGUGUUCUUCCAACUGCCUUUGCAAUCAACUGAAAUCAGAGUGGACUCAAUACACAGAGCGGAGGGCCGCCAGCUCCCUCUACAGUGGCCCAGACUCCAAAUGCCCCCAGCACGGCACUUUUUUUUUUUUUUUGCCUCUUCUAUUCAUUGGAGUGUUUUCACAGGGAGUCUGAACUUAGGCACAAGAGACCAAGAGUCCAAAUUGUUUGCUCUUAGCAAAGGCUAAGAACCUGUUAUCAGCAGACAGAAUCCAUAGAAGAAGACUACAUGAUCUGCACCACACAAGCCCAAUGGCUGAGGGUUCUGGCUGCGGCAAAGCCUUGGGUGGUAAAGAAAGGAGAAUUUCCUGAGCUUGUUCUCUGUGCAGAAAACUUCCCCCAGGAUCUGUCUAGCUGAGGCUCACUGUACUUAAGGAAACUGUUGGUCAAGGACUUGGAUGUUCUAGAUUAUGGCUCCUGGACAUUUCUGUCUCCUCCUCUGCCCUCCAUACUCCCCUCCUCACCCCACAGAGAACAGCCAAGCCUAUAACUUUCAUUUUCUGGAAAGAAAUUAGUGACAAGAAUACUGGGAACUUUGCAUCAGGCAAAAUGAAGUUUUACAC